UGGGCCUGGGGGACCCCCAAACAUCUCCAGAGGGACCCCCAGACCCAAAGAAGAGGAGGAAAAGAGAGAUGGGUGAGAGCCUGUUGAGGACUUUGGGGGCGUCGGCGUCGUCCCCGUUCGGGGUGGGGGUCCUGACCCACCUGCUGCGCUGUGGGAGCCCCCAGACCCGCCUGGCCUGCGCUGCUGCCCUGCCCCUGCUGGCCAGCCCCUCGUCCCCGGCCUGGGGGCUGCUCUGGGGUGGGGAGGGGCCCUGGCCCUGCUUUUGGGGGCCCUGCUGGGGAGGGG
Molecule: long non-coding RNA, 285 nt
Organism: Myiozetetes cayanensis
Lineage: Eukaryota; Metazoa; Chordata; Aves; Passeriformes; Tyrannidae
Exons: 3
Source: RefSeq, a predicted model, not a curated record